Molecule: ribosomal RNA, 497 nt
Filed under: uncultured bacterium
Lineage: Bacteria
Description: bacterial SSU rRNA
Rfam family: Bacterial small subunit ribosomal RNA
Source: RNAcentral
AAUAAACGCUGGCGGCGUGCUUAACACAUGCAAGUCGAGCGAGCAAGUCCUUCGGGAUGAGUUAGCGGCGAACGGGUGAGCAACGCGUGAGAACCUUCUUUUUAGUGAGGAAUACCUUCGAGAAAUUGAAGUUAAUACCGCAUAAGUCCGUUUACGGAGAAAGGUGGCUUUAUUGCUGUCGCUAAAAAAUGGGCUUGCGUACUAUUAGCUAGUUGGUGGGGUAAUGGCCUACCAAGGCGAUGAUGGUUAACCGGCCUGAGAGGGUGUACGGUCACAUUGGAACUGAGAUACGGUCCAAACUCCUACGGGAGGCAGCAGUGAGGAAUAUUGCGCAAUGGGCGAAAGCCUGACGCAGCGACGCCGCGUGGGGGAUGAAGGUCUUAGGAUUGUAAACUCCUGUUAAGAGAGAAAAAAACUUCGCAAGUAAUAUGUGCGGAGCAUGAUUGUACCUCUAGAGAAAGCACCGGCUAACUUCGUGCCAGCAGCCGCUGUAAGAC